This 2161-nucleotide long non-coding RNA is filed under the name Musa acuminata (dwarf banana). RNAcentral's name for it is "long non-coding RNA (MACU_LNC004750)". The record is from RNAcentral. Lineage: Eukaryota; Viridiplantae; Streptophyta; Magnoliopsida; Zingiberales; Musaceae.
AACAGUAAAUUUUAAGCAACAUUUUUACUAGACAUCCUAGAGAGUUAAUUUAAGUUUGUCAUCAUGGAUGUGUAAAAUCAUUCUAAGAUUUUCCAAUGAUCAAUAUAAAGUUUGACUCAAAUUUUUUUUUCAAUGGUUAUUAUAAAGUUUGACUCAUUUUUUUAAUUAUUAAAUGAAGAUUUAGUUACUUGUUACACAUAAUCGUUAAAUUUUGAUUAUAAAAGAAUUUGUUGCACAUAAUCACAGUCAUUCAUUGCACAUGAGUGAAACAUUGAGCUUGGAAAUUAUUUUUGGGAACUUUCUCACGCGUAAUGGUUAUGAUUGAAAAUUUUUAUUUCUUUUCUUUCAUUGUUCACUCUUGAAGGUUUCUUGUACUCUUACCACAACACAACAUCCGUUUCUUCCCCCUUUUUAUCCAGGGUAAAUAAAGGCCUAUGUCUCAUCACCUUCAGGCUAUAUGCAUAUCUUGUAGAAAGUUGUUCUGCUUUUGGUUUGUGUCCUUUUAAUCUGUUGACAUGUGAAAGUCUGCUUCUUUUUCUUUCACCUUUUACUUUUCAGCUUUUGGAUAUCAGGCUUUGAGGAACACAUGAUUACAUUGUACUAGUCAUCAUCAUUUUCUGCUACCCUUGGAUCAAUUAUAUUACAGCAAUGCUUUCAGUUCUAAUUGCUCCUCUCUGAUUUAUGUGACUGCCAGCAGCCUUUUCUUUUAUUCUAAUGCUGAAUUCUCUAAUUAAAGCUUUAUUGUUACCGAGUUUAAUCGAUGGUUUAUUAGAUAUUUUGUGCAUCCAUCCAUGCUGCAAAUUUGUUUCUGAAAGAAAUUUAGCCAACAAAAAUAUUCCUAUAUGUCCUCUUACUUGCGUUCUCAACACUGUUUAGUCAUUUGUUAUGUGUGCUUUCAUAUAGCUUUGAUUUAUCUGAUUUACUUGAUCACUCACGCAUCAAAUACCUUUCUUGGUUCUAAAGUUAAUAGAUUUAAGGAUUUGUUAGGGAUCUAUUUCUUCAUCUCAGCUUCCCAAUAUCUUCUUUGUAUAAUCAGGUGUACUUUGGAAUUCUGAAUAGUUAAUGUAGCGACAUCAUUAUGACACUCAAUGCUCCCACCUCCACAAAUCAUCACUGCUGAAGUGGGUUGUCACAUGAUGAGUAGACUAUAUAUCCUGCUUUACCUUUUACCUUCUUUGAGAUAUCUAUUGCCCCAUGUGAUCACUGGUUAAGAAAAUGUCUCUCACUAGCGCGCAGCCAAGGUGAGCUUAUACUCCUAUAUGAAUGUAUAAUGUGAUUAUUAGGUUUUUCCACACCAAAAAAGGGGGUUCAGGUUUUAGAACAAGGCAAUCAUUCAUGAAAGAUUAGGGAUCAGCCUUGGAUGCAACCUAGGCUUCUGCUCUAAUGAUCUCUUCAUGCUAUUUCUCUCGAAGAGCGUUGGAUCAGACAUUUACUUGAUGAAUACAACUAGCAACUAGGACUUUUGGAAUGAAUAUUUCUUUUCCUGUAAACUUAUUCAGCAUAUCAGUUUCUGAAGAACUAUCUGCAAGAAAAAAAGAAGAAAAAAGCUACAAGCAGUUGUUUAUGAGUUAUGAUUUCAACAUAGAGGUUAAACCAUGUUUUGUGAUACUGUGCUAUUCAUGUUCUUAAAAAUUAUAUAUUUGUUUGGCGUAAGUUUGUUUAUAUAUUCUACAUUUUUACUGGUUUUCAUUCUCAUUCUGGAUCUAUUUGAUGAGUCUGUAAGAUCUAAAAAGUCUUCCCAUUGGCAUGCGUGCCCCUCUUAUUUUUCAAUGUCAUUAGAAUAUGAGUUAAUAGUGUCAUAUUUGCUCAUCAAUGCCAUUUGACAAAGAGCAAAGGGCGUUGGGCUCGUAUUCAAAGUAUUAUCAUAUUAGAAAGGAAGAGAAAGAAUUGUUAAGUAUUUUUCGGAAGGUCAGAAACAUUUGCAUCAUUAAUCUCAUCUCAACUGAGGGCUUGCAUUUCAUAUUCAAUUUCUUGGGAAGGAUCACGUAAGAGGUUUUGUCAACUUCUUGCAAAGGAUCAUUUCACGGGAUUUGUUGACAAAAUAUCUUUGUGAUGGUAAGUCAAUAUGUGUUUAUUGGCUUAGACGUCAAAAGACUAUAAAUAUUUUUUAAAUAAAUUUAUAAUUAAAAUAAAUCUAGAUAAAGUUUGUUUUAUACAAUCA